Molecule: ribosomal RNA, 253 nt
Filed under: uncultured bacterium
Lineage: Bacteria
Description: partial 16S ribosomal RNA
Rfam family: Bacterial small subunit ribosomal RNA
Source: RNAcentral
UACGAAGGGGGCUAGCGUUGCUCGGAAUCAUUGGGCGUAAAGCGCACGUAGGCGGCUUCGCAAGUCGGAUGUGAAAUCCCUAGGCUCAACCAAGGACGUGCAUCCGAAACUGCAGAGCUUGAGUACAGAAGAGGAUCGCGGAAUUCCCGGUGUAGAGGUGAAAUUCGUAGAUAUCGGGAGGAACACCAGUGGCGAAGGCGGCGAUCUGGGCUGAUACUGACGCUGAGGUGCGAAAGCGUGGGGAGCAAACAGG